UACGUAGGGGGCAAGCGUUGUCCGGAAUCAUUGGGCGUAAAGAGCGUGUAGGCGGCCCGAUAAGUCCGCUGUGAAAGUCCAGGGCUCAACCCUGGGAUGCCGGUGGAUACUGUCGGGCUCGAGUCCGGAAGAGGAGUGUGGAAUCCUGGUGUAGCGGUGAAAUGCGCAGACUAUCAGGAGGAACACCGGUGGCGGAAGGCGGGUCUCUGGGCCGAUACUGACGCUGGAGGAGCGAAAGCGUGGGGAGCGAACAGG
RNAcentral lists this ribosomal RNA (255 nucleotides) under uncultured bacterium. RNAcentral's name for it is "partial 16S ribosomal RNA". It matches the Rfam family "Bacterial small subunit ribosomal RNA", at positions 524 to 776 of the family's 1533-position model. The record is from RNAcentral.